This 489-nucleotide ribosomal RNA is filed under the name uncultured bacterium. Its description in RNAcentral is "partial 16S ribosomal RNA". It matches the Rfam family "Bacterial small subunit ribosomal RNA", at positions 30 to 507 of the family's 1533-position model. The record is from RNAcentral.
UUGAACGCUGGCGGCAGGCCUAACACAUGCAAGUCGAACGGUAACAGGAAGCAGCUUGCUGCUUCGCUGACGAGUGGCGGACGGGUGAGUAAUGUCUGGGAAACUGCCUGAUGGAGGGGGAUAACUACUGGAAACGGUAGCUAAUACCGCAUAACGUCGCAAGACCAAAGAGGGGGACCUUAGGGCCUCUUGCCAUCGGAUGUGCCCAGAUGGGAUUAGCUAGUAGGUGGGGUAACGGCUCACCUAGGCGACGAUCCCUAGCUGGUCUGAGAGGAUGACCAGCCACACUGGAGCUGAGACAGGGUCCAGACUCCUACGGGAGGCAGCAGUGGGGAAUAUUGCACAAUGGGCGCAAGCCUGAUGCAGCCAUGCCGCGUGUAUGAAGAAGGCCUUCGGGUUGUAAAGUACUUUCAGCGGGGAGGAAGGGAGUAAAGUUAAUACCUUUGCUCAUUGACGUUACCCGCAGAAGAAGCACCGGCUAACUCCGUG